GCACUGCUGAAGAGUCCCACCAUGGGACGAAACGGUCGUCUAGUGC
Molecule: non-coding RNA, 46 nt
Filed under: Schistosoma mansoni
Lineage: Eukaryota; Metazoa; Platyhelminthes; Trematoda; Strigeidida; Schistosomatidae
Source: RNAcentral